GCCCUUGUAGUAUAAACAAAUACACCAGCCUUGUAAACUGGAAAUGGCCCCCUACCCAAGGGCA
This 64-nucleotide transfer RNA is filed under the name Presbytis femoralis (banded leaf monkey). RNAcentral's name for it is "tRNA-Thr". RNAcentral also lists the same sequence under 1 other name. Lineage: Eukaryota; Metazoa; Chordata; Mammalia; Primates; Cercopithecidae. The record is from RNAcentral.